CUGCGGGUUUUCCAGGAGUGUAGAGGCGGAGAAGUCUAUCCGAGCUUCCAGUUCUGCUUCUGAAGCUGGAAGGGGCUUUUCGGUUGUAACCCUUGGGUAACAAUGCCUGGAUUUUAUUCAGAUGCUGUGUACCCAGCCAAAAGACUACAUUUCUCAAUCUCCAUUGUAGCUGGAUGUGGCUGUGUGAUCAAGUUAUGACCAAUGAGAUAUAAGUAGAAGUAGCUUGGCCAGACACAGUGGCUCACACCUGUAAUCCCAGCCCUUUGGGAGGCCAAAGCAGGAGGAUCACUUGCACUCAGGAGUUGGAAACUGCAGACCAGCCUGGAGAACACAGUGACACCUUGUCUCUACACAAAAUGAAAAAGUUAGCAGGGUAUGGUGGCAUGUGCCUGUGGUCCCAGCUACUUCCAGCUACUUGGGAGGCUAAAAUGGAAGGAUCGCUUGAGCCUGGGAGAUUGAGGCCUCAGUGAGCCAUGAUCAUGCCACUGUACUCCAGCCUGGGUGACAAGAGCAAGACCCUGUCUCUCAAAAAAAAAAAAACGCGGCUGGGUGGAACAUCUGGAAAACAUCUUUAAAGAACGCUGACUCAAUCAGGAGGAGCACCAUUUUGUUUCUUGCCCUCUGCCCUUCCUGCCUGAAACAGGCAUUGCCAUUCUCUUCAAAACAUAUUUGAAAAAUGUCCAGGCUUCUCAUCUCUGUGUAAAACUGUUCAGUUUGUUCCAGUGUGACGAGAAGAAAUUGGACUGAGCAUACUUUUUUGUGAGACAUCCAUUUUCUUCC
Molecule: long non-coding RNA, 780 nt
Filed under: Homo sapiens (human)
Lineage: Eukaryota; Metazoa; Chordata; Mammalia; Primates; Hominidae
Description: HSALNT0038267
Source: RNAcentral